Molecule: ribosomal RNA, 1302 nt
Filed under: Escherichia coli
Lineage: Bacteria; Pseudomonadati; Pseudomonadota; Gammaproteobacteria; Enterobacterales; Enterobacteriaceae
Description: partial 23S ribosomal RNA
Rfam family: Bacterial large subunit ribosomal RNA
Source: RNAcentral
GAGGAAAAGAAAUCAACCGAGAUUCCCCCAGUAGCGGCGAGCGAACGGGGAGCAGCCCAGAGCCUGAAUCAGUAUGUGUGUUAGUGGAAGCGUCUGGAAAGGCGCGCGAUACAGGGUGACAGCCCCGUACACAAAAAUGCACAUGCUGUGAGCUCGAUGAGUAGGGCGGGACACGUGGUAUCCUGUCUGAAUAUGGGGGGACCAUCCUCCAAGGCUAAAUACUCCUGACUGACCGAUAGUGAACCAGUACCGUGAGGGAAAGGCGAAAAGAACCCCGGCGAGGGGAGUGAAAAAGAACCUGAAACCGUGUACGUACAAGCAGUGGGAGCACGCUUAGGCGUGUGACUGCGUACCUUUUGUAUAAUGGGUCAGCGACUUAUAUUCUGUAGCAAGGUUAACCGAAUAGGGGAGCCGAAGGGAAACCGAGUCUUAACUGGGCGUUAAGUUGCAGGGUAUAGACCCGAAACCCGGUGAUCUAGCCAUGGGCAGGUUGAAGGUUGGGUAACACUAACUGGAGGACCGAACCGACUAAUGUUGAAAAAUUAGCGGAUGACUUGUGGCUGGGGGUGAAAGGCCAAUCAAACCGGGAGAUAGCUGGUUCUCCCCGAAAGCUAUUUAGGUAGCGCCUCGUGAAUUCAUCUCCGGGGGUAGAGCACUGUUUCGGCAAGGGGGUCAUCCCGACUUACCAACCCGAUGCAAACUGCGAAUACCGGAGAAUGUUAUCACGGGAGACACACGGCGGGUGCUAACGUCCGUCGUGAAGAGGGAAACAACCCAGACCGCCAGCUAAGGUCCCAAAGUCAUGGUUAAGUGGGAAACGAUGUGGGAAGGCCCAGACAGCCAGGAUGUUGGCUUAGAAGCAGCCAUCAUUUAAAGAAAGCGUAAUAGCUCACUGGUCGAGUCGGCCUGCGCGGAAGAUGUAACGGGGCUAAACCAUGCACCGAAGCUGCGGCAGCGACGCUGAUGCGUUGUUGGGUAGGGGAGCGUUCUGUAAGCCUGCGAAGGUGUGCUGUGAGGCAUGCUGGAGGUAUCAGAAGUGCGAAUGCUGACAUAAGUAACGAUAAAGCGGGUGAAAAGCCCGCUCGCCGGAAGACCAAGGGUUCCUGUCCAACGUUAAUCGGGGCAGGGUGAGUCGACCCCUAAGGCGAGGCCGAAAGGCGUAGUCGAUGGGAAACAGGUUAAUAUUCCUGUACUUGGUGUUACUGCGAAGGGGGGACGGAGAAGGCUAUGUUGGCCGGGCGACGGUUGUCCCGGUUUAAGCGUGUAGGCUGGUUUUCCAGGCAAAUCCGGAAAAUCAAGGCU